Molecule: ribosomal RNA, 253 nt
Filed under: uncultured bacterium
Lineage: Bacteria
Description: partial 16S ribosomal RNA
Rfam family: Bacterial small subunit ribosomal RNA
Source: RNAcentral
GACGAACCGAGCGCACGUUGUUCGGAAUCACUGGGCUUAAAGGGCGCGUAGGCGGGCUGCCAAGUUUGGGGUGAAAUCCUCCGGCUCAACCGGAGCAGUGCCUCGAAUACUGGCGGUCUCGAGGGAGGUAGGGGCGUGCGGAACUGUGGGUGGAGCGGUGAAAUGCGUUGAUAUCCACAGGAACUCCGGUGGCGAAGGCGGCACGCUGGACCUUUUCUGACGCUGAGGCGCGAAAGCCAGGGGAGCGAACGGG